UUGAACACGGACCAAGGAGUCUAGCAUGUGCGCGAGUCAUUGGGACGUUUACGCUAAACCCAGAGGCGCAAUGAAAGUGAAAGGGAGCGCCUCGCGCGCUCCCAGCAGGGAAGAUGCGCGGGCGUCCUCGCGCGCCCCGCCGCAUUCCCGAGGCGUUUCGAGAAAGCCACCGUGCGAUUAUCGAGACGCACUGAGAGCGUACACGCUGGGACCCGAAAGAUGGGUGAACUAUGCCUGGUCAGGUCGAA
RNAcentral lists this ribosomal RNA (248 nucleotides) under Mystacopsyche longipilosa. Its description in RNAcentral is "partial 28S large subunit ribosomal RNA". It matches the Rfam family "Eukaryotic large subunit ribosomal RNA", at positions 654 to 850 of the family's 3401-position model. Lineage: Eukaryota; Metazoa; Arthropoda; Insecta; Trichoptera; Philorheithridae. The record is from RNAcentral.